AUGUCGCAGACCACCCAAGGGACGCUGAGUUCCUCGACACACCCAUCCAGAACUACGACCAGAUGCAGCACAUCUUCUCCUUCGGGCUGGCAACUGGGAAACAUGCCAUGGGCUCGGGUGAGCCUCUUGGUUCUCCCAUGUCAGAUUUCCCUGGGACACCGGAUGUCGAGGUCCUUGAUGGCCUUGACAAGCCCGCUGCGAAGCCCUUCGACAAGCCAUUUGACCCCAACCAUGAUAGGAAGAGGAAGGAGGCCUGAUGGAGGAGGAGAUCAAUGUCUUUUGCAGCAUGACUGA
This 294-nucleotide ribosomal RNA is filed under the name Triticum aestivum (bread wheat). RNAcentral describes it as "partial small subunit ribosomal RNA". The record is from RNAcentral. Lineage: Eukaryota; Viridiplantae; Streptophyta; Magnoliopsida; Poales; Poaceae.